UCUUCAACUACAUAAUGGGUUAUUUAGACCGUCGAUUGCUCGUUGUUUCCACUAACUUAUGCUGUAAACAUUUCUCCAACCCGUCAAUGAAACUUAGAGAAAAGUAUAAAUUUAGAAGUACAUGCACUUAGAAUUUUAGUUAAGUUUAUGUGUUGUUAGUGUGAACAUGAAAUGAGGCUAAAAGGUAAUUUCAUAGAUGAUGUAUAGUCAUAUCACUAUACUAAUUUAAAUUCCUUUCCAUUUAUGCAAAAGCAAGAAUAGUAUAGAGAUGGCGAGAACCUAGGAUGGCUAUGACCUUUCCUC
This 303-nucleotide long non-coding RNA is filed under the name Cucumis sativus (cucumber). RNAcentral describes it as "long non-coding RNA (CSAT_LNC001832)". The record is from RNAcentral. Lineage: Eukaryota; Viridiplantae; Streptophyta; Magnoliopsida; Cucurbitales; Cucurbitaceae.